GCUUGAGUGGCGAACGGGUGAGUAACACGUGAGUAACCUGCCCUUGACUUUGGGAUAACUUCAGGAAACUGGGGCUAAUACCGGAUAGGAGCUCCUGCUGCAUGGUGGGGGUUGGAAAGUUUCGGCGGUUGGGGAUGGACUCGCGGCUUAUCAGCUUGUUGGUGGGGUAGUGGCUUACCAAGGCUUUGACGGGUAGCCGGCCUGAGAGGGUGACCGGCCACAUUGGGACUGAGAUACGGCCCAG
This 244-nucleotide ribosomal RNA is filed under the name uncultured Actinomycetales bacterium. RNAcentral describes it as "partial 16S ribosomal RNA". It matches the Rfam family "Bacterial small subunit ribosomal RNA", at positions 89 to 334 of the family's 1533-position model. Lineage: Bacteria; Bacillati; Actinomycetota; Actinomycetes; Actinomycetales. The record is from RNAcentral.